RNAcentral lists this ribosomal RNA (253 nucleotides) under uncultured prokaryote. Its description in RNAcentral is "partial 16S ribosomal RNA". It matches the Rfam family "Bacterial small subunit ribosomal RNA", at positions 524 to 776 of the family's 1533-position model. The record is from RNAcentral.
UACAGAGGUCUCGAGCGUUGUUCGGAUUCAUUGGGCGUAAAGGGUGCGUAGGCGGCGGGGUAAGUCUGAUGUGAAAUCCCGGGGCUCAACUCCGGAACUGCAUUGGAUACUGCUCUGCUUGAGUACUGGAGAGGAGACUGGAAUUUACGGUGUAGCAGUGAAAUGCGUAGAGAUCGUAAGGAACACCGGUGGCGAAGGCGCCUAUCUGGCCCAAUACUGACGCUGAGGCGCGAAAGCUAGGGGAGCAAACGGG